Homo sapiens (human) is the source of this 3600-nucleotide long non-coding RNA. RefSeq lists it as uncharacterized. The record is from RefSeq and is a predicted model, not a curated record. NCBI's taxonomy places the organism in Eukaryota, Metazoa, Chordata, Mammalia, Primates, Hominidae. The transcript has 3 exons.
CGGUGGCCCAGCCCAGCUUCUGGCACUUCCAUGGGAGUGAGGUGCAAAGACAGAGUGCAGUACAUUUAAAGUGUUUUGCCAAAACUUUUUUAUGGGAUUUGAGUACAAAUACCAAAGGGGUUGUCCAUGGAAAGAAGUGGGCCUUAGGCUGAUAUCUUGUUGGGGGAUGCAGCGAGAUUGGGGGUAACCUCUGACCCCAUCUGUAGGAUUCACUGGAUCUGCUUGAUGUUUGCUUGUAGUUGUUUGACUGAUGAUGACAUUACUGUUUAGACAUUUGGACUGCAAGGAGAAAUCCCACCACAGAUAAGUAGAUCGUCUUGUCUUUGCAUGGGCAUGCUGCCCUGGCUUGUCUGAUGUGUGCAUUAUGGGACGUAUGCACAGGAACAGCUCAGUUACCCACUCACCAGUCGUGAGGGUGCAAGACCUCUAAAAGUGAGGCCUGUAACUUGUUCAUCUUCAAGAUAGAGACUUCACAUUUCGGUGUAAUCACCAUCAACACUUACUGAAUUGAUCCGAAUUCAAUAAAUAUGAAUUCACGGAUAAUCUGCCAAAUUUAAAAUAUUGCCCUAGUGGUUUGGGGUGCACAGAGUUAAGUGAAACCACCCAUUCUUAGGGAUCAUCCAAUGCAGGAGUGCUGGCAUAUUCAUCAGCAAGGGCUGUCACACAGAACAUCACAGGCCCUGUGCUUACGCAACCGUUUCUGCUGAGGCCUCUCUUCCUGCUUAUAGACAGUGCCUUUUCACUUUGAGCUUGCUUGGCCUCUUCUCUGUGCAUGCACAGAGAGAGAGAAAGGGAGAACAGGCAGCCUCUGGCGCCUCUUCCUGUUCUCAUGACACUAGUUAAUAAGGUUCGGUUCUGUGUCCCCACCCAAAUCUCAUCUUGAAUUGUAGCUCCCAUAAUUCCUACUUGUUGUGAGAGGACCUGGUGGGAGAUAAUUGAAUCGUGGGGGUAGUUUCUCCCCACACUAUUCUCAUGAUAGUGAAUAAGUCUCAUGAGAUCUGAUGAUUUUAUAAGGGGUUUCCCCUUGGCUUGGUUUUCAUUCUCUCUUGCCUGCUGUCAUGUAAGAUGUGUCUUUCACCUUCCAUCAUGAUUGUGAGGCCUCUCCAGCCACGUGGAACUGUGAGUCCAUUAAACUUCUUUUUCUUUAUAAAUUACCCAGUCUUUGGUAUGUCUUUAUCAGCAGUGUGGAAAUAGACUAACACACCAGUCCUAUUGGAUUAGGGCCCCACCCUUACGACCUGACUAGACCUUAAUUACUUUCCUGAAGGCCCCAUCUCUAAUAUAGUCACACUGGAGGGUUAGGGCUUCAACACAUGAAUUUGGCUGGGGAGGCACAGUUCAGUACACAACAGAUGGGAACCAUCUUUUUUUUUCUGUUUCAACUUUUUUUUCAGUAUCAACUUUUUGUUUUGUUACAGUGAUUUAGCAUAAAACAAGUAGACACUAAUGUAACAUGCUCACUUAAAAUUCCAAGAAUUCUCAAAAAUUCUCGUACUAUGAACUGACCUUCUUAGUUUCUAAAACUGAAGAAAUCAUUGUAAUUUAAAACAUAAAUCAUCUCAAUCAUAAACAUUAAGAGUUUCCUUGGUGUUCACUCUUGGGAUAUUUCAAAAGAUGAUAAAGUAUGAAAUUAAGCAGAGCCUAUUAAGAUCAACCAUUUUUUAUUAUAUGACCUAUUCAUUUCAAAAUGUAGAUGCACAUAAUAAAUAAGUUUUCCAGUGUGUGCCUGCUCAGAGGUUUCUACACUCUCAGAAAGAAACCAAGCUAAUUACACAUGAAAUAUCAACUGGUGAGCAAUUAUAACCUGAAAAAUACCCUCAUGAUUUUGUAUAUUUUAUAAAUUUAUGAGUUGGGCAAAAAAUGUUAUAUCUAUACCAUGAAUUCAGAAACAGUGGUAAAAUAUGGUCAUAACAAACAGUAUGUGUAUAUAUACACACACGUAUACACAUACACACAUUAUACAUACACGUACCUCAUACACACACACACCUCAUACACACACACCCACACACCCACACCCACCACUAUCAUAAACUUCUGCUUUUAUUUGGCUGGUAAUAUGUACAAAUGAAUAUUUCUGAUUUGUUAGCUUUCUUGGCAUAUUUCUGUCUAAUUUUUUUAAUCUCUCCUCCUUCUUUUCAGAUAAGAAAAACAUGCUCUCUCUUCUCUAAUGAUUGGACAGACUCCUACUCCAAAACAGAAGAUCUCAACUCUGGAAGAGAACAGAUGCCUUCCACUGUGUGAGCGUAAAUUCAGAGCCUUCCAACUUGACAUUCUCAUCGACAAAUUAUUUAAACAUGACGGCUCUUUUAUAAAGAGUGUUAUCUUAAAAGGAAAGGAAUCAAAGGGCUGAACAUGUUGAAGGGAGGAGAAACAAGACCCCCAGGACUUGUCAAUGGCACACAUGAAAGACAGAAAACACCAGAAGCCAGUCUUCAGCCUGCUGGCCCAGCCAUGGCCACUGUAACGUACGGCUAAACCCCUGCCCCGAUCAGCUCUCAAGGCUCUGAGCCAACUGCCUAGACCGUCUAUUUGAGAUCCCUGAGAGUUUCAACACAGGGCAUGGCUGACCUCUCCACCGUGUCAUUUCCAGUAAUGCGGCCUCACUGAUAGCAGAAGUUCGGAGAGCUCUUGUCAGAGAGGCCAGCUGGCACCAUGUGAGUCUUACCCAGAGGGAAACCUGACAAUCUUCCAGCAUGCUCACCAGACUGGGGCACUGACUUUUGUCACUUGAUUCUCAACUCACAGUCUCAAGAUGCUGGUGCUAAUGUACAUUGCAGCUGACACUGGAGUUUAUUUUUAUAACUGCUCUUGCCUCAGAAAAAGCUCCAUCCCAGUACGACUUCCAGGACAGGGAUGGUCUGGAUGCUGCAGUUAGGACAAUGAUCAUCUCGUUCUCUUAGUGGUUAGGAAUCCUGUGGGCUUAUGGAAUAAGCUCGCUGAAACAGACAGUGACAUCCACGGUGACACUGACCGAAUUGUGCUCCAGUGGCCUAGAGAGUGCCUAUUAUUUAUCUCAUUUCUGUUCUGCAUAAUAACACCAACCAAACCGCUAAUGAAUGAAUAUUAUUACAUGCUUUGGUAGGAACGCAAAGGCAAAUUGGGCUCACUGUAGAGAAUAUCUUGCUCCUCAUUUUGUAUUAAAAUGCCUAGACGCCCCUCAAGAGACCAUGUCAAGGAUGAAAUUUAUCCACUGCCUGCAUUUGCUAAUUUGAAAGAGUUCUGAUUUCAUCUGCCGGGCUUAAUAUAGAAAUUCUUUUAACCUGAACAGAUACACAGAAAUGUGGAAUUUAUUCAAUGCCAUUUUCUUGAUUUAUGUCAGGAAAUAUAUAUGGCUAUGCUGUCAUCUUUUUAUAUAUAGACAUCAAUAUAUAUAAAUAUAUAGAGUCAAGUCAGAAAUUCUGAAACCACAUUGCACUUAGCCCUUACAGCAUAAUGCUUUCCAUAUUCUUCACAGUUUGUUUCCCUGAUCCUUUAGAGAGAGCUACUGUGUUUAAAGUGUAAACCAUUUUUACAGAAAAAAUGUAUUACAAUUCUAUAUGAUAAUUCUCAAAGUUCAGGAAAAUAAUCUGAAAUAAACAUUCUAAAUUGAGGAAUGAA